This 1061-nucleotide long non-coding RNA is filed under the name Mus musculus (house mouse). Its description in RNAcentral is "predicted gene 12610". Lineage: Eukaryota; Metazoa; Chordata; Mammalia; Rodentia; Muridae. The record is from RNAcentral.
CACCCGGAACCAUUUCUGUUCCAGCUCUUCUGUUUUUUGGCAAGUGCAUGAAACAUUCAGAAAAUACCGCUUUUCUGUCCCAUUGAAUAUGCCUGCCCCCUUGAUGAAGUGUGGUUGAAAGAUUGAAAGUAGAACAAGACGUUUGGAUACACUGGAGACACAGGACGGCAUCAGAGAUCUCAAACUAUGAGUCACAGCAAAAUCAGCUUUGAAGUGUGGCUACCAGUAGACCAUCCUUCCAAGUCUGCCCUUCUGCAAGAAGAAGGCCUGUGGAUGUCUCAAUAACUGCUCUCUGGAGACUUGAACGAUGACUUUAGACGGAUUACUCAUGCCAGGUAGUGUGCACUGCAAUUAUUCAAGCAAGGCCGGCCACAGAAUCAUCAAAGCAUGAAGCUCCUAUGACAGCUCAGCCCCGGAGGGUUAGAUGCAAAUGUCAGAGUGGGGCUAUUGUUCUGGAGUCUGAGAACUGGAGAUGAAAGGAGCCUCAAACACUGCAAGAGUAAACAGUGAGGGACAGGGGGAGACCUUCUAGCUAGACCAAGCACCACCUCUCAGAGCCUCCUUUGAAGUUCUGGUAGAGAGUGCAUGCUGUGGAUCAGCUGAGUCGAUGGAGCCUGGACACCGACCCAAACAUGUAGACAUUUCACUCUUAGAUCUGGCAAAGAGACUGAGGACCGAGUGUGACUACUCAGCCUCAUUUUACAAACUGCAGAAUACCUAAACUCAGGCUCUUGCCUAGGAACAUCUGAAAACUAAAUUAUGCUUUAAUGCCAAGUGACAAAUGUAAACUGUUUAUUUUUUUCAGGACAGUGAAAAAGAAAGUAUGUCAUUUACAGCAUAAGUUCUUGGAUUAGUGACUUAGAAUUAACUAGGAGGACUGAAAAGCAUUUAAGUAACCCCCCCCCCCCCCGAGACUACAGCUGGAUGACCUGUGAAGUCCCUCUCCAACUUGGUUCCCUUUUCCACUCAUCUUUCAUUUUUGAAUUGGUGACCGAUAUCUGUAACAGAACAUGAACGUCCCAACAAAAACAUUUUAAUUAAAUUUCUUUCGCGUUCAAACC